RNAcentral lists this ribosomal RNA (1259 nucleotides) under Chryseobacterium balustinum. RNAcentral describes it as "16S ribosomal RNA". It matches the Rfam family "Bacterial small subunit ribosomal RNA", at positions 104 to 1370 of the family's 1533-position model. The record is from RNAcentral. Lineage: Bacteria; Pseudomonadati; Bacteroidota; Flavobacteriia; Flavobacteriales; Weeksellaceae.
GGGUGCGGAACACGUGUGCAACCUACCUUUAUCAGGGGGAUAGCCNNUCGAAAGGAAGNUUAAUNCCCCAUAAUAUAUUGNNNGGCAUCAGUNNNNAUUGAAAACUCCGGUGGAUAGAGAUGGGCACGCGCAAGAUUAGAUAGUUGGUAGGGUAACGGCCUNCCAAGUCAGUGAUCUUUAGGGGGCCUGAGAGGGUNAUCCNNCACACUGGUACUGAGACACGGACCAGNCUCCUACGGGAGGCAGCANUGAGGAAUAUUGGACAAUGGGUGAGAGCCUGAUCCAGCCAUCCCGCGUGAAGGACGACGGCCCUAUGGGUUGUAAACUUCUUUUGUAUAGGGAUAAACCUACUCNCGUGAGAGUAGCUGAAGGUACUAUACGAAUAAGCACCGGCUAACUCCGUGCCAGCNNCNNCGGUNAUACGGAGGGUGCNAGCGUUAUCCGGAUUUAUUGGGUUUAAAGGGUCCGUAGGCGGAUCUGUAAGUCAGUGGUGAAAUCUCAUAGCUUAACUAUGAAACUGCCAUUGAUACUGCAGGUCUUGAGUAAAGUAGAAGUGGCUGGAAUAAGUAGUGUAGCGGUGAAAUGCAUAGAUAUUACUUAGAACACCAAUUGCGAAGGCAGGUCACUAUGUUUUAACUGACGCUGAUGGACGAAAGCGUGGGGAGCGAACAGGAUUAGAUACCCUGGUAGUCCACGCCGUAAACGAUGCUAACUCGUUUUUGGGCUUUAGGGUUCAGAGACUAAGCGAAAGUGAUAAGUUAGCCACCUGGGGAGUACGUUCGCAAGAAUGAAACUCAAAGGAAUUGACGGGNNCCCGCACAAGCGGUGGAUUAUGUGGUUUAAUUCGAUGAUACGCGAGGAACCUUACCAAGGCUUAAAUGGGAAUUGACAGGUUUAGAAAUAGACNNUUCUUCGGACAAUUUUCAAGGUGCUGCAUGGUUGUCGUCAGCUCGUGCCGUGAGGUGUUAGGUUAAGUCCUGCAACGAGCGCAACCCCUGUCACUAGUUGCCAUCAUUCAGUUGGGGACUCUAGUGAGACUGCCUACGCAAGUAGAGAGGAAGGUGGGGAUGACGUCAAAUCAUCACGGCCCUUACGCCUUGGGCCACACACGUAAUACAAUGGCCAGUACAGAGGGCAGCUACCAGGCGACUGGAUGCGAAUCUCGAAAGCUNGUCUCAGUUCGGAUUGGAGUCUGCAACUNGACUCUAUGAAGCUGGAAUCGCUAGUAAUCGCAUAUCAGCCAUGAUGCGGUGAAUNCG